CCUACGGGGUGGCAGCAGUGGGGAAUAUUGGACAAUGGGGGCAACCCUGAUCCAGCCAGGCCGCGUGUGUGAAGAAGGCCCUCGGGUUGUAAAGCACUUUCAGUGAGGAAGAACGCCUGGUGGUUAAUACCCAUCAGGAAAGACAUCACUCACAGAAGAAGCACCGGCUAACUCCGUGCCAGCAGCCGCGGUAAUACGGAGGGUGCGAGCGUUAAUCGGAAUUACUGGGCGUAAAGCGCGCGUAGGUGGCUUGAUAAGCCGGUUGUGAAAGCCCCGGGCUCAACCUGGGAACGGCAUCCGGAACUGGAAAGCUAGAGUGCAGGAGAGGAAGGUAGAAUUCCCGGUGUAGAGGUGAAAUGCGUAGAGAUCGGGAAGAAUACCAGUGGCGAAGGCGGCCUUCUGGACUGACACUGACACUGAGGUGCGAAAGCGUGGGUAGCAAACAGGAUUAGAUACUCCAGUAGUC
Molecule: ribosomal RNA, 466 nt
Filed under: Vreelandella stevensii
Lineage: Bacteria; Pseudomonadati; Pseudomonadota; Gammaproteobacteria; Oceanospirillales; Halomonadaceae
Description: partial 16S ribosomal RNA
Rfam family: Bacterial small subunit ribosomal RNA
Source: RNAcentral